CCUCUUACACUCCUGUUGAACAAGAGUUCUAACUUGAGCUUCAGAAAAAUCUCGUUGGAGCCAUCUCCGAUUAGGACCUUUGUGCAGGUCGCACCUUCGGGAGGCCUGCUUUGCCAUCCUCCAGCAUCCUGAUGCCAGACGCAUUCUUGCAUCAACAGAUUGACGCUAGAAGAAAGGCCUUUUGACUUAUUUGGAGGAGCACAGAUCGAGAGCAGUAAGAUAAUAUACCACUAAAAAGAGUUUCAUCCUGACACACCAACGCCAUCACCUCUCGGUUGCUAGAGAGCCAAGCCAAUAGCUAGAUGCAACCAUCGGUGAUGGAGACUCCUCCUCCAGCCUAGUCAGUGUUGGUCAUGAUAGACCAAUUCAACUUGCUCUUCUAGCACGUUCAAACUUUGACAGCCACCGUCCAGACGAUCCAAACUGUUCUUGGGCCUCCGCCGACGAUGUCGUAGCCUAAUUAGGCUACCCCCACACCCCCUUCAGUGGUGCCAUCACCAAAUCUAGCUUCAUAACCACCACCACCACCAGAAUAGCCAUGGGUAUCUCUGCAGAGCUCUGAAAGGAGGCAGACCUGCUAGAGCUGCUUUAAAACUCAAGAAUCAAGAAGGCGGCGAUCUCCGAGUCCCCAAUCAAGGCAUGAUUCAACCUUUAGUCAGUGAUCUCCCCAACAUUUUGAGGCCUUCACCGUCUGAGAUCUUGCUCUCGAGAGGCAGCUUCGGGAGAUUGAUGAGUGGAUCGAUGCGAUCCAUAAUACCCCCUCAGCACUCUAUGAUGGGUUCAACAAUGACCUGCCUUUUGCUCUGAGGAUUAUGCAGGAGUCAUUCCUUCGGUAUUUGAAGGCUCCACAGUUUGAGAUUUACUAUGGGAC
RNAcentral lists this long non-coding RNA (871 nucleotides) under Elaeis guineensis (African oil palm). Its description in RNAcentral is "long non-coding RNA (EGUI_LNC027567)". The record is from RNAcentral. Lineage: Eukaryota; Viridiplantae; Streptophyta; Magnoliopsida; Arecales; Arecaceae.